Molecule: unclassified non-coding RNA, 3838 nt
Filed under: Dermacentor andersoni
Lineage: Eukaryota; Metazoa; Arthropoda; Arachnida; Ixodida; Ixodidae
Description: calcitonin gene-related peptide type 1 receptor- like
Source: RNAcentral
CUUUUCUCUGCGCAGACCACCGAAUGACUAGCCUUUAUUGACAGCCUUCACGUAGAGGGUCGACCAUGGCGAUACGGAGCCAAGGAGCGCUGCCCCUCUCUGGCACGAAUGUUCGCGCUCUGCCCCGCAGGUUCCACUGCCGAUGAAAGCAGGGAGCUCCCCAUGGUUCAUCGCACGCGGAGUUGAGCACUGAAGAAGAGAAGACAGCUCACGUGACCAAGGCUGGUUGCUUCGUCAUCACCAGAGAGCAGCAUGCCACUCGGGCAUCUUCGCAUUUGCUUUGUUGCUUCCUUGCUGGCGGCUGGAGCAGUGUGCAUGGUCUCGGCGCGGAGGAACCCGUACGAAAAGAUUCCUGGCACUUGCCGCAUGGAGAGCCAGCUGUACCUGGAGCCGCACGUCUUCAGCAGGCUGACAUCUGCACGUUGCUACAAGUACAUGCCCAGCCUGGCCUUCAAGAAUGCCUCCAGGCUCACGUAUUGCCGCAGAGGUUGGCUCUGUCGAGGCGAGUGCGAGGGGGAGUGCUUCCAGCCGUACGGCAACGACAGCGACGUUCAGGUGCUGGAGACCUUCAAGAAGGGGCUCUAUGCUGGCCGCUGGAAGAGCUGCUGUCAGGCGGCGCGUGACUGCUGCCAGGAGAUGAUCGCGGACGAUCAGGCCGGACUGAGUGCGACAAAAGACGGACUUCACUGUCCCGCCACGUGGGAUGGCUGGACAUGCUACAAGGACACUCCCGCCGGGACGACCGUGCAGAAGCCGUGUCCAGCGCACGCGUACUUCAUCACCGAGACUCCGCAGUGCAUCAAAAUGUCGAAGAAAACCUGCUGGGAGAAUGGCACAUGGUUCUACAGCCAAGAGUAUGGCAAGGAGUACACUUUCUACGACUGCGGCUCACUCGAGUACCACCGCUCCAUGACUAUCUUCUCCAUCGUGCUCCAUUCCCUGUCCGUCGUCGUCCUGGUGCCCGCAAUAGCCAUCUUCUCCGUCUACAAGCAACUUCAAGUUCACCGCAUCUCGCUGCACAAGAACUUUUGCGUCGCCAUGGUGCUGUACGACAUCAGUGUCAUCCUUGUCGACGCUGUUUUCAUACUGGACCACGUCAGCGAGGAGAAAAACAUACGAGUCAACGAGAACCCGAACCUCUGCAAGGUGCUCUACACCCUCUCUCGAUACUUCCGGCUGUGCCAGUACGCGUGGAUGUUCUGCGAGGGCUUCUACCUGCACAAGCUGAUCGCCUCCGCAUUCGCCGAGCAGAAGUCGCUGCUAGUCUUCUACGUCAUCGGUUGGGGUUGUCCCGCUAUUUUCGUCAGCAUCAGCGCCGUCCUGCGAGCAGUGCGGAUUGGACACCCUUGCUGGAUGGAUAACGUCGAAGGAUACAACUGGAUUACUCUGGCUCCAGGUCUCUUCUGCCUGUUUGCAAACUUCGUCUUUCUGUGCAACAUCAUCCGCGUCCUUGUCACCAAGCUUAGGAGCACCCACGCAAAUGAGCCUAGCCAGUUUCGGAAAGCCGUACGUGCUGUGCUGGUGCUGUUCCCCUUAUUUGGCAUGCACUUUCUGAUGACGGUAUACCGGAGUCCAGCCAACUGUGGAGCCUGGGAGAUCUAUCAGUACAUCAGCAAAGCAUCCGACGGUUUGCAGGGAUUUUUCGUAGCUGUGAUAUUCUGCUAUCUCAACGGAGAGAUUCAGGGCCAAAUCACGCGGUCCAUCGAGCUCGUGAAAUUGGAGUCUUCACUGGCCAGGGCGAACGACCGGCGGCGUUCGACGCGCACCCAGGUCCUAGCUUGCUGAGUGGGGGGCCUCAGCAUUGCUUGCCCUCCUCCGUCCCGUCGCCGACAGGACGUCGCUGCUGCCGGCUAAACGUGCACGGCGUUGUCCCUGUCUCUCGGCCGUGCCCCGUGCUCUACCUGUUGAAGCGCUCGUACGGUCGCUACCGGCUACAGCGGGGCUUCUCAAGCCGUAGGGGCAACAGCCUCGCCAUGACCCGCAUGUCCGUGUCCACGCACGUCACAUCGCUGGGCGACUCGCUCAACCCCAACAACGGCUCCGUCAAGAAGUACUCCUGCGCACGCAACGGCGACACUGCACCCGAACAACAGCCCUUGAACUGAGCCGCCUUCUUUGACUGUCGAGCGCUGCAACCAUACAAACUUUCCGGCAGCAGCCAAGUCGGCGCUCUGCUUUGUGCCAUUGCCCCAUCCCAUACUGUUUAAGGAACACCGACAUUGUCUUGAUGGUGGACGCGUCAUCGGAGUGCAACGCCUUUUCUUCAAGGGGCUGUAGAUUCCUCCUUCUUUUUUUUUUGGGGGGGGGGGGGGGGGAGGGGCAGUUUACACGGCGUGUCACCAGCGAAGCCACGUGGAACAUGAUGGAGGAUAUGCUCAUGCAAACGCCGCUGUGGCCCGUUAUACUAUAGAAAAGAACGCAAAGCCGUCCCUUUAUGGCGGUUGCGUGGUGGUGCUCCUUCACCUAUGUGUUUAUCAUGGACGUCGAACGACGCCAAGCGCAACGUUGUCAGUUUGUGCAGUGCGGCCGUGUUGCUUCAGACGUACGCUGACUGCUGACUGCUGACUGCCGUAUCAGGCAGAAUGCAAUUCUGUUUCUUAAGGCAUCCAUGUUGAUGCAGACAUGUGUGCCAAAGAAACUUGUGAGCUUCUUUCGGACAAUGUUUUUAAUGUCCUGGUGAUGAGGGGAUUGUGGUUGUGCUGCCUGAAUGAGGAACUCUGUACCCACGGCCUAAGCGGUGAAUGUACUCAAAUAUUUUUUUUUUUUGUUACUGGAGACGGUGCUCGUUCAAAACAAGAAAGAAAUGGCGCUAAACUGUUUCCGUCACAAAUGUGUUCUCAUACGUCGAAAUGUCAAACUUUUUCCCCUUCUCAGUGACAAACGGACUCGAGUGCAUAUGGAAAGUAAACGUGUCGCAGAUUGGAGACGCUGGCAACAUCGUGGCAUGUGUGCGACAACGGGGCAAAAUUCAUUCGAGCAUUUAACGCUAAAUUAACCGUAUUAUUACUCAUCAACUUCUGAUAAUUACUCGCUCAGCCCACGUUCAGCGCUGAAAUGACGCAGCCAUUGCGCUGAAGAAAACAAUACUCGCAGCAAAACUCAGGACACAGAGCAUACGGAACUCUGCCUAGAAAUAAUACUGUAAAUCUCUUCACCCUAUAUAUAUAGCUGUCAUGAUGGCCACUGCUGAGAGGAUAGAGCUGACAGGAAUGAACGAUAAUGACGGUGCACUCGAUGCAGCGUUUUUGCCACCUCGCAGUCGACGGGUCUGUCUGUGUGCUGAGGAUAUAAUAUUAGCACACAUGAUCGACACCUCUGCGUCGUGAUCAGUCUGACGAAGUACGUGUUUGUGCGGCCCAUAAGGACAGUUUCAGCACGUACAUAUGGCUUUCUCACGUUUUAUUCAUCGUGUGUAUAAUAUAACUAUGUCAAUAGUAUUCAGAACGUCCCAGCAAACCUGUUGUCAUCCUCCCUUCGCUCCUAUGGAGUUCGACAUACCAAAAUACGUCCCUAGAACUGACCAUCGUCCAUAUCUGUCCUCGUGAAUUUAGCGAAUCUUAGCAGAACCUCUUGCGGGAUGACUUGGUGCACUUGUCAUAGAACAAGGGCCAAAAAUGGAUUAGCCCGUAGACAGACGACGAACGAAAUAAAACACACAUACGAGGAAAGAGGUACGAACGAUUCUCUUGCCUUUUAUGUUUUUGUGACCGUUCUUCGUGGGGUUACGAACUCUGGCGAAUGUGCAAUCGAUAUUAUGGUGGUUUCGGAGAUAGAAGAAAUAGAUGCAUUGUUGAGCAGCCUGUUAAAGGUUGUGUCCAAGACCUAUCCCUGUUUAUUG